This 529-nucleotide long non-coding RNA is filed under the name Nicotiana benthamiana. Its description in RNAcentral is "long non-coding RNA (NBEN_LNC008619)". The record is from RNAcentral. Lineage: Eukaryota; Viridiplantae; Streptophyta; Magnoliopsida; Solanales; Solanaceae.
UUUGCUGAUUCUUAAUGAUUGCUUCCUUAAUUGAAACCCCUGUGCGUUCACCCCUAAUUCAAAUCUCUGUACUCGAUUUCCUUCUUUAAUUAUCUAUCCGCUUUUACCAUUGAUUAUCCUUUGAUUAAUGGGAAGACUUACUGAUUUUACAUGUGAUGAUUCCGUGAAUUUCUCUAAUUACUACAUAAUUGAUCCCUUACCUUAUUUUGCUAAGCUUUUGAUUACUAUAUAAAUCCCUCAUAUUCUCACUUCUAACAACGAACAUUAGUCAAAAAAAGCACGCUUACACUCUAUUGCUCUCUUUUUCUCCUCUGCUACUUGUGAUAUUCACUAGACUAGCUGGCUGAAAGCCAAGGCUAAAUAUUAGAACUUCAUCUACUUUAUAUUUUGCACUCUUUUCUUCAACUGGUAUUUCUCUAGUUAAAUUUUGAAAUCCAAACCCUAUGUGUUCCAUUCCUGGACUAGUUCAUCGGCUAUGAAUUCAACUUGCAUUCCUGCUUACUUCUUUGCUUAUCAUGUCUAAACUCUG